CCAAUCAACCCUACAGUAUCAAUAUAAAAGUGUUUUGUCCAAAAUAUUGUGAUAUUUGAUUGUCUCUAUAUCACCCAGCUCUAAUUAUAACCCUCUGA
Etheostoma cragini (Arkansas darter) is the source of this 98-nucleotide long non-coding RNA. RefSeq lists it as uncharacterized. The transcript has 3 exons. Lineage: Eukaryota; Metazoa; Chordata; Actinopteri; Perciformes; Percidae. The record is from RefSeq and is a predicted model, not a curated record.